This 388-nucleotide ribosomal RNA is filed under the name uncultured Rhodoferax sp. Its description in RNAcentral is "bacterial SSU rRNA". It matches the Rfam family "Bacterial small subunit ribosomal RNA", at positions 991 to 1382 of the family's 1533-position model. Lineage: Bacteria; Pseudomonadati; Pseudomonadota; Betaproteobacteria; Burkholderiales; Comamonadaceae. The record is from RNAcentral.
CGGAACCUUUAGAGAUAGAGGGGUGCUCGAAAGAGAGCCGUAACACAGGUGCUGCAUGGCUGUCGUCAGCUCGUGUCGUGAGAUGUUGGUUAAGUCCCGCAACGAGCGCAACCCUUGUCAUUAGUUGCUACAUUCAGUUGGGCACUCUAAUGAGACUGCCGGUGACAAGCCGGAGGAAGGUGGGGAUGACGUCAAGUCCUCAUGGCCCUUAUAGGUGGGCUACACGCGUCAUACAAUGGCUGGUACAAAGGGUUGCCAACCCGCGAGGGGGAGCCAAUCCCAUAAAGCCAGUCGUAGUCCGGAUCGUAGUCUGCAACUCGACUACGUGAAGUCGGAAUCGCUAGUAAUCGUGGAUCAGAAUGUCACGGUGAAUACGUUCCCGGGUCUU